GACGCUGGCGGCGUGCCUAACACAUGCAAGUCGAGCGGAGAAGUUGGGAGCUUGCUCUUGAUUCUUAGCGGCGGACGGGUGAGUAACGCGUGAGCAACCUGCCUACAAACGUGGGGGAUAACGCAUACGAAAGAUGUGCUAAUACCGCGUAAGACCACAUUACCACAUGGUAGGAGGGGUACAAAAGAGCAAUCCGGUUUGAGAUGGGCUCGCGUCCCAUUAGAUAGUUGGUGAGGUAACGGCCCACCAAGUCGACGAUGGGUAGCCGAACUGAGAGGUUGAACGGCCACAUUGGAACUGAGAUACGGUCCAGACUCCUACGGGGAGGCAGCAGGUGGGGAAUAUUGGGCAAGUGGGGGAAACCCUGACCCAGCAACGCCGCGUGAAGGAAGAAGGCCUUCGGGUUGUAAACUUCUUUUACCAGGGACGAAGAACGUGACGGUACCUGGAGAAAAAGCAACGGCUAACUACGUG
This 474-nucleotide ribosomal RNA is filed under the name uncultured bacterium. Its description in RNAcentral is "bacterial SSU rRNA". It matches the Rfam family "Bacterial small subunit ribosomal RNA", at positions 33 to 507 of the family's 1533-position model. The record is from RNAcentral.